UACAGAGGGUGCAAGCGUUAAUCGGAGUUACUGGGCGUAAAGGGCGCGUAGGUAGUUGUUUAAGAUGUUUGUGAAAUCCCCGGGCUUAACCUGGGAACUGCAAGCAAGACUGGACAGCUGGAGUACUGUAGAGGGUAGUGGAAUUUCCGGUGUAGCGGUGAAAUGCGUAGAGAUCGGAAGGAACACCAGUGGCGAAGGCGGCUACCUGGACAGAUACUGACACUGAGGCGCGAGAGCGUGGGGAGCAAACAGG
Molecule: ribosomal RNA, 253 nt
Filed under: uncultured bacterium
Lineage: Bacteria
Description: partial 16S ribosomal RNA
Rfam family: Bacterial small subunit ribosomal RNA
Source: RNAcentral